RNAcentral lists this ribosomal RNA (492 nucleotides) under uncultured bacterium. RNAcentral's name for it is "partial 16S ribosomal RNA". It matches the Rfam family "Bacterial small subunit ribosomal RNA", at positions 30 to 507 of the family's 1533-position model. The record is from RNAcentral.
AUUGAACGCUGGCGGCAUGCUUUACACAUGCAAGUCGAACGGUAACAGGCCUUCGGGUGCUGACGAGUGGCGAACGGGUGCGUAAUGCAUCGGAACGUGCCCAGAGGUGGGGGAUAACGCAGCGAAAGCUGUGCUAAUACCGCAUGUGAUCUGAGGAUGAAAGCGGGGGACCAAGCAGCAAUGUUUGGCCUCGCGCCUCUGGAGCGGCCGAUGUCAGAUUAGGUAGUUGGUGGGGUAAAGGCCUACCAAGCCGACGAUCUGUAGCUGGUCUGAGAGGACGACCAGCCACACUGGGACUGAGACACGGCCCAGACUCCUACGGGAGGCAGCAGUGGGGAAUUUUGGACAAUGGGCGCAAGCCUGAUCCAGCAAUGCCGCGUGCGGGAAGAAGGCCUUCGGGCUGUAAACCGCUUUUGUACGGAACGAAAAGGCUCUGGCUAAUACCUGGGGCUGAUGACGGUACCGUAAGAAUAAGCACCGGCUAACUACGUG